AAUAGAUACCCGGUAGUCCAUGCCGUAAACGAUGUCUACUAGCCGUUGGGGCCCUUGAGGCUUUAGUGGCGCAGCUAACGCGAUAAGUAGACCGCCUGGGGAGUACGGUCGCAAGACUAAAACUCAAAUGAAUUGACGGGGGCCCGCACAAGCGGUGGAGCAUGUGGUUUAAUUCGAUGCAACGCGAAGAACCUUACCUGGCCUUGACAUACAGAGAACUUUCCAGAGAUGGAUUGGUGCCUUCGGGAACUCUGAUACAGGUGCUGCAUGGCUGUCGUCAGCUCGUGUCGUGAGAUGUUGGGUUAAGUCCCGCAACGAGCGCAACCCUUUUCCUUAUUUGCCAGCACUUCGGGUGGGAACUUUAAGGAUACUGCCAGUGACAAACUGGAGGAAGGCGGGGACGACGUCAAGUCAUCAUGGCCCUUACGGCCAGGGCUACACACGUGCUACAAUGGUCGGUACAAAGGGUUGCUACUGCGCGAGCAGAUGCUAAUCUCAAAAAGCCGAUCGUAGUCCGGAUCGCAGU
Molecule: ribosomal RNA, 526 nt
Filed under: uncultured bacterium
Lineage: Bacteria
Description: bacterial SSU rRNA
Rfam family: Bacterial small subunit ribosomal RNA
Source: RNAcentral